CAAAGUAUAAAAUUUAAUAUACAGUGACACAUGGGCCCACGAAUGACUAAAAGUAUCAAAAGAAAUGAACCUACAGUUUUUGGAUGUGGCAAGUCCAACUGUAGUCAUCGUCGAUAUCAGUUAUCUACAAUCUAUUCUGAGCCUGAAAUGGGUGGAAAAGAGGGUGGUGAGAUUAUAAAAUCCCAGUGAGUAAAGAAAUAUCAUUUAAAAUAUCUAAAGGCGAGUAAAAAGAGACUAUUAAAACAUUUCAUCAAACUGUAAUUUAUAAUCUUUUAACUUAUUUCAACCAAAUGAAAUCAAUUUAUUUAAAUCAAGUAAUCAGUAUGGCUUAUGAAUUUCUUAAAAGCUUGACUCAUGCCAAAAAUUAUUAUCAUACUCAGUUAUCUAGGAUACCUUGGCCGAGGGUUAUCCCAACUGAGUCCGCCAAGGCUAUUAGAAAGUCAUGUUUUAUUUUGAAAACAUUGUCGUUCCUUGGCGUUGGCCGAGUUCCCCCUCACGUGGUGGUUUGGCUUGAAGUGAACUCUAAAAGUUAUACCUCGGGAGUUACCUUACUCGCCUCUCCAACCGAGGUAAAAUAUAACGGGGUUUACCGUGCCCCUCUAAUAGGCUAGUCCACGGAAACCCGCCUACUGCAGUAAGCUAAUAAUUAUCCCACCAAUCAAUAAAAUUCAAUAACAUGAUAUGGCAAUUAUUGUAAUUCACAGCCUUUCAAGGCUAAAUACACAUUUCAUAUAUUUCAACACAAAUAUCAAUUCAGCCAUUCAUGCAAAUAUUGUCAUAAGCCAUUCGAUUCAAUUCAUAAAUUUUACAACAAAACAAGUGGUCUCCAAUUACUCUAUUUUUCAAAAUCAUUAUUCAAUUUCAAGACAAUUUAUAAAAUCUUUUCAUGUAAACACAUUUUGUUUGUAAAACACGAAGAUUUACCAUUUAAACUCAUUUUCAUAAAAUUUCACCAAAACCGAUUAAAAACAUACUUUAGAUAAUUAAAAUGAUAGUAAGGUUACUCACAGUACUAGGAGUUUGAUAUACUCCUAUUCUCGGUCUUUGGGCAUAAUCUCUUUACCCUUGUUAGAGGGCUCACCACCUAUACGUCAUACGUGACACGAAUUUUAAUAAAUUGUGUCAAUUUAUCAUAAACUAUUUCAAGCUCUAUAAAUCUAUAUGAAUGCAUGAAAUGUGAUGCAAAAUGUUCGAAUAGCCGUUUAAAUAUGGUAUUCGACCUAAUUCGCACUAUUCUCGGUGUAAUUAGCUAAAACCUCCAAUUUAACUCCAAAUCAAUUUCUUUCACUUUCUACACUCCAAUUAUACCUAAAUUACCUCAGUGACUGCAAAUGAGAUUCAAUUUAUCAAUCCCAGGUCAAUAAUCACAAAUGUCUAUACAUUAGGUAAAAAUUCAGAUUUUCACACCAAAAUUUCCCAUUUAAUUUCUAGCCUCACCAAACAUCAAAUAUCACCAAAAUUUCAUGAAAUAUCAUCAAUUUCAGCCACAAUAUCCUCCCUAGGAAAUUCGGCCAUUGAUGGUUGAUGAGGAAAAUGAAUUCUUUUCUUGUUGUUUUGUUUCUAAAUAUGCUAAGCUAACUAAAAACACUAACAUAACUUAAAAUCAAAUCAAUCUAACAUCUUUCUCUCUCCAUAUCCAUUUUAACCAGCCAUGAAUUCACCAUGAAAACAUGAAAUCUAACCAUGUAAUAUAAGGAGAAAUGCAUGGGAAAGGUAAAUCACAAGUCAAAAUCAAGAAAUUUUACCUUUAAUUGCUUAAUUCCUUGAAAUCCACCAAUUUUUCUUUGAAUUUUCCCACCUAGGGUUCUUGUUUUUCUUUUCUCCCUUUGUUUUUCCUUUGCUCUUG
Molecule: long non-coding RNA, 1846 nt
Filed under: Theobroma cacao (cacao)
Lineage: Eukaryota; Viridiplantae; Streptophyta; Magnoliopsida; Malvales; Malvaceae
Description: long non-coding RNA (TCAC_LNC002378)
Source: RNAcentral